RNAcentral lists this unclassified non-coding RNA (762 nucleotides) under Hevea brasiliensis (rubber tree). Lineage: Eukaryota; Viridiplantae; Streptophyta; Magnoliopsida; Malpighiales; Euphorbiaceae. The record is from RNAcentral.
GCACAUUACGAUGAGGUCUUUAGGAUGAAAGGAAAUGCAGCCAAGGCGGACGUAGUCCAUGUCUUGUCAGGCAUGUGGAAAACCCCUGCUGAGCGUUGUUGUAUGUGGAUUGGUGGUUUCCGCCCCUCGUUACUGCUUAAGCUUCUAGUCAAUCAGUUAGAUCCUCUGAGUGAGCAACAAGUAGCUGACUUUAACAACUUGCAGCUGUCAUCCCAUCAUGCUGAAGUUGCUCUCUCACAAGGUAUGGAGGCGCUGCAGCUAUCAUUGGGGGAGACAUUAGCCAUGGGAUCUCCAUUUACUGAAUCAGGGAAUGUAGCUACUACUUAUAUGUGUCAAAUGGCAAUGGCUAUGGGGAAAUUAAUGACUCUUGAAGAUUUUCUCCGUCAGGCGGACAGCCUGCGUCAACUAGUAUUGCAACAAAUAUAUCGCAUACUGACAACCAGACAAUAUGCCCGUGCUCUUCUUGCAAUAAAUGAUUACUUCUCAAUUUUUCGGGUUCUCAGCUCUAUUUGGCUAGCCAGACCACGAGAGCAAUAAGCACAAAAACCAUUGCAGUAUUCUGCUGAAAUUCGGACACUACUUUGAUACACUGGCCAGUAUAUGAGAUGCAGCUAAGUUGCUAUAUUUUGAAGUGGUGGUACUGUAUGUGCCUUGUGGAAGUACAAAAUUUGUUUUUCAAAGUAUAGAGAAAUUUAGCAGGGGUGUUUGUCAUUUAGAUAGUUUUCCCAAAGUGGUGUAUAUUGUGCUUUUGUUCCACUUCUU